GCCGAAGUGGUGGAAUCUGGUAGACACGCUAUCUUGAGGGGGUAGUGGGCAACCGGUAGUGGGCAACCGUCCGUGCGGGUUCAAGUCCCGCCUUCGGCACCA
Molecule: transfer RNA, 102 nt
Filed under: Deltaproteobacteria bacterium
Lineage: Bacteria; Pseudomonadati; Myxococcota; Myxococcia
Also listed under: 1 other name
Description: tRNA-Leu
Rfam family: tRNA
About the family: Transfer RNA (tRNA) molecules are approximately 80 nucleotides in length. Their secondary structure includes four short double-helical elements and three loops (D, anti-codon, and T loops).
Source: RNAcentral